Molecule: long non-coding RNA, 11829 nt
Filed under: Olea europaea subsp. europaea
Lineage: Eukaryota; Viridiplantae; Streptophyta; Magnoliopsida; Lamiales; Oleaceae
Source: RNAcentral
GUUUGUUACUUUUUGUAGUUUUGCUUAAGGUUUUUUUCGUUUUCCUCGUGUGAGAUGUGAAAAGUUUGUUGGGUUAUUCUUUAAUUACUUCGAUCUGCUCCGAAAGCCACAUAUUUUGCUCAAUAUAUUUUUUCCGAUUCCUGUUGUCUUCGACUAUAUUUCUUUUUUUGGCUGUAGUUUGUACUAUAGUUCUAGCAUAUGUUUAGCUGAUUUUUGCUCCGUCCAGCUUGAUGUCGCUAAAAAAAAUUGAUUUUUGCUUGGUCUAGCUCGAUUUGCUCCAGAAGUUUUAGUUCUUGCUUAAUAGAUUUUUUUUUUAUUGGAAACUGUUUAUUUGUGGUGGAUUAAUUUGGAAUUUUAUCUAUUUACUUACACUUACUGAUAUAUUUUAUGGUUUAUUGCAGCUAUCGAAUCAAUUACUUCACAUUAAUUGUGAUUUUUCUUGGUAAGACAGCUAAAUAUGUUGUUUCAUUCUCAUUUUAUAGAAGUUCGCACAUUUUGAGUGAACUGUAUAGUUCAAAAUUUAGCAGUAGUUUAAUAGCUUAUAAUGAAAUGGUUGGGUAUGGUAAAUAAAUAUUUCUUUCACCUAGGAAAUUAGCAACUACGAGUUUGUUUGUACUUUAAUAACCUAUUGGAGGAAUUAUGAUAUUUUUUGAGCAUUUAUCUGGUUUUAUCAAGAUUUAUUCCCAUACAUCUCACAAUAUAUCUCCUUUUUCUUAUAGUUAAUCAUGCAUAUACGUGUAGAGCUAUGGCGAUAAAUGACCUGUCAUAGAUGAUGUUGUAUGGCAUGAUGGAGAAGUUUGGAGGGCUGCUCUUGACACACACAGUUUUGAUGAUGAACCAGGAUGCGGGAAGUUUGCUGACUUUGUUCCUUUAACUAAUUUUAGGUAUUUAAGGCUUUUCUAGCAAUUCAAUUGACUGUCCUAAGUUAUUUAUAUUUGGGGAUCUUAGCUUGCAUCUUGGGGAAUGAGACAGAAUGCUUUUAGUUGGAAAUAAGCGAAAUUUCAAUGUCGUUUGGUUUGUGUUUUAGUUUUCUGUUUGAGGGUCCGUUUUAAUAUUGCUAAAAACGUGUUUGAUUUGUUAUUUUGAAAAAUUAUUUCUCAAAACAGAAAAUAAUAAGGAUGUUUGGUUUGAAAUUUUGAAAAUUGUUUUAUGACAUUUUAUUCUACUACGUUUUGAUUAUUCGGUAAAAAUAGAACAAUUUUAUGUUAAUAUAUUAUCAAGUAGCAUAUACAUUUUAAAAUUAGUGAAUCUUACAAUAUUUUCUUUUCACUAAAAAAGUAAAAUAAAAAUAAAUAAUAAAUUGAGUUCAAAAUAUAUGAAAUAAAAAAUAAAAAUUAAUGAAAUGGACUAAGAAUAUUUUUAUCUGCAUUUAUUUAAAUAUAUUUUUAGAUUUUUUAUGUUAAAUUUAUUAAGAGCUUGAACUAUUUUUAUUUUUAUUUUAUUUUUUGUAAUUUUUGGUUUUCUGGAAAUUUUUUUAAUUUAAAUUUUUCAGAAUUAUAUUUUUAUUUCAAAUUUAUAUCUUCUUGGAAUGUACAUCAAUUUUAAAUAUAGACUUAUCUUUUUUCCGUAAGUAUCCACCUUCGGUGGUUAAAAGGAAAACAUAUUUAUGAUUUUUUUUUUUUCCUUUUUCGUAGUAUUUUUUUUACAAGAGUUUGGACUAUGUGAAGUUUAAUAAAUUAAUAAACCAGGGAAAAGUUUAUAUUCAUGUCAGAAUUAACCAUUGAAUCUGUGUUCAUCUUGGGAUCCGUUUUCUAUGAACAUAUUAAUUUAGUUAUAUCAGAUUUGUAUUUUUGAAUGCUUUUACUUGUAUCAUAGAGUAUAACGGUUGGUAGAAUUCGCAUUUCAAUCGACCACAUCACAUGUCCUCUUGAGAUGUUUUACAGAAUCUUCAUUGAUGCUCCUAGUGUCUUAAAUAAUUAAUGUCGCGGUUAUUGCGUGUACAAGUUCUGUCAUAUUAACUUAUAGACUGUUCAAUAUUUAAUUUGUGAUGGUAUUAUUAUUUUUCAAUUAACCCCAGUUACUGUUAUAAUAAUUCCAGGGGUCAAUUGCACGCCUCACUGAUGAACCUUAUGGAUAAAUUAUUGUUUGCAUUCUAUGCAGAUAGUAGAUCCAGCCAGGUAAAGUUUUUUCACCAUUUUUACUUUGUUCAGCAUUUCUUGCUAUUUAUUUUCAUCUUGCAUAAGCAAACAUUGGAAUACAGUUCUUUGUCACGUGUGUUUUCAUUGUAUGCAAUAUCAUUAAGAUUAGAACAAUAGGGAAUGACGUAUAUUAUCAUAUGAAAAAAAUGAAUGGGCCCCUGGUAUAUAGUUUAACUAUAUACUUAUGUUCAAAACAGUCUUUGUAUUUAAUGAUUUUGUUUUUUGGAAAUUUUAUAGAUUUGGAUUCAAUCAUGUUAUUGUUUCCCACUUUGAAUAUUUAAGUGACUGGAACAUUAAUGUUAGUCUUAAGUUUGGGUUCACUUGCAAUAAUAACUCUCAACUGAAAGCAUAUGUAAGUUUUAAGCAUUGAAAUUUGAAGUAAUCUUGCACGGUUUACACUUUACAUUUAUGUUGUAUUCUAUGGUUUUCUGGUUUGGGAGGCUUAUCAAAGUUAACUGGGCAUAUUGCAAUUGUCAGGAAGAUGACACAUUAAGUAAAUCCAUAGAUUCAUCUUUUUUAGACUUGUGUUUUUUAUCUGCUUUUUUACUUCAUUUAGAGUUGUAUGGAUUUUUAAUUGUGAUGAUAUUUUAUCCAUUUUAUCUAGGACAAUUCACCAUUUUUGCUGGUUACUUUCAAACUAAUUCAUACUAUUUAUUUACAGAUGAUGAAAAAAAGAAGAAUUUAUUUUAAGCAUGUUCUUAAAAAAAAAAAAGAGUUAAUUAAAAUCGACAUUUUUCUUCUUCAAACUUUUAAUGAUAUUCUGGUAUUUUUCCACCGAAAAGUAAUUAUGCAUCUUAUUCCCCUACUUAACAUGUAAUUAUUUAAUUGCUGCGAUAUAUGUUUUUCUUAGUCUUUUUCAGAAUUGCUCUUUCAUCUACCAUAUAUUUCUUAUUCUGAAAAAUUCAUGAAUGGUUACAUGAUACCCUUAGUUACCACUCUAGCACUUGAUGUUGUUUUUAUUACAUUCAUUGGAGAUUCGAGGCUAAUGUGCUAUUUACAAAUCACAAACAUAUUUGAAACAAAACUGUGCAUAUAUGUAGCUCAUGUUUACUAAUAUCCAAACCAUUUGUCAUACCUACAUUAGAAAUCCACAUAUACUAUCCGUCUGAUGUUUUUAAUGUAUUCUUUUUGUUGCAUUUUUUUUAUUCUAGAUUCAUAUUCGAAGAAACUUGAAGCCAUUAAAGUAAGUUGUCUUUACAUAUUAGUUGCUUCUAAAAAAUAUCAUUCAUCAUGUAAGAGGUAUUGUUGCUGGUUUUUGUUUGAUUCUAUUGUUUGAAGUCAUUUGUAGGAAUUGUCCAUUUGAUGGCUCUCGAGUUCCUUUUUUUUUUUUUUUAGCAUCUUGAAAAUAAUAAAGCUUCUUGAUUUAUUAUUGAAAUUAAUAAAAAGCUAUAAUUUAUGGUUGGGGAAGGAAAUAAAAAGGAUAUAUGAUGUUUACAUAUUUUUGAUUUGUUUGUCUUGAUAUGCCUUAUUCAUUAGCUAUUGGAGUAAUUAUAAUAAUUCACUUUUCAUCGAUUAUACUUGUCGACUGAAUCAAUAGGGCAUUAAUUUUAAUGAAAUUGAUGCAGAAUAGCGUUGGUAUAAAGUUCUGAUUUCCUGUAUUUCAAUGUGUGUGUGUGUAUGCACUAUUUGCUGUUAUGUACUAGCAAUAAAACCUUAUAAGGAAGUAUAAUUUUAUAAAGUAAGUUUUGUUUUGUCCAUGUUUUCUUCUUAGCUUUUAAUUUUUAGAAUUAAUGAAUUAAUCUAAUUUUCUUAAUUUUUGUUAGUGAUUUUCGUUUAUCUCAUAUAAUUUCAAGGGUUCCAUAUGAAUUUAUUGAUUCCAUGAAUGUUAUAUUUAUUUUAAUUUUUUUGUUUCAGACUGGGAGAUAUCGUUUCCGAAGUAAAAAAUACUAAAAUUUUCGACGUCAAUUAAACUGUAUUAUCUUCAGGUAUUUUAUUUUAUCUUAUUUAUUUUAAAUAUUUCCUUCAAUUUUAUUAGGUUCAUAGCUUGUUUUGUAUUUUUUUCCCAUGAAGUUUCUUUUAUAGUAAUUAUCAUUUAACGAUUAUGUUAUAUAGUAGUCGACUGUAUUUCUUAAUCAUUGUAAUUGAUGAUUACAGCAGUGUACUCUAUUUUGGGUAAGUUCUCUCACUUGACCUAUUUAUAGGUUUUUGUUCAAGGGUUUAUAUUGUAAGUUUAUUUUGGUUAUUUAUCUAUAGUAACUUAUAAAUUUUGUAAUAGGUUGUUAGUUCUUGAGUUUCUUUUGUGCAUUCUAGAAGGCACAUUUUUCCUUCCUUCUAAAGUAUAUCUUCAACUAUUGUUCUGUAGAAUUCAAGAAAAUUGCAAGAGGAUAUAAUAACCACUUUGCAUUCACUUCGUUUGGCGUGAAAUAUGACAAAGAACUUUUUAAAAGAUACAGAUGUAUUUAUACAUUUAGGGUUCAGGGGCAAGUGUAUCAUUAUAUAAAUCAACUUAUACCAAAUAAUAAUACACCUUCUUAUAUGCAGUUAUAUUUUUAUGAUAUAGAUAAUGAACUUCAAAAUCGUAUGAAAAUUUCAGAGAACUUUUUUGAAUCUACUUUGACUAUAUUAAUGCAAAUUCUACAAGUAAAUCCUUAUAGUAAAUUUUUUAGGUCUUUAAGUAAUAUCACUAACUUGCAACAUCAUCGAACACAAAUAAGAUGCGAUCCAGGAGUUGAUCAAAUAGUUUUCAAUACUCUUACAACAUCUCAAGUAGCUGCUGUAUGGGUUGAAGAUGAUGAAAAUGCAAAUAUUCGUAUUUGUGAUAUUAUUAUAUAUGGUCAUUCUGGUGAAUUACACAAAGUUCACUAUUACUAUGGUUGUUAUGAUUCUUUGUGGUAUCCUAUAAUCUUUCCAUACGGGGAAUCUGGUUGGCAUGAAGGUAUUGAAAGAUAUAGAAGCCCAUUAUUUUCGCCUCAGCAAUUGCCUGAUUUUGUUGCUUUUCCUAACACAAUGAACUCUGCAACUGAACUUCUUGAAAAAGAGGAUGCAGGUUAGCGGAUACACAUUUUAGUGAAUUUAGUAUCUUUUGCAAUUUGAAUGCUUCAAGUGAAUACUUGAUUAUUUUACUACUAUGUGAUGUAGUGCUUAAUAAAAUGAGGAAACGAUUUAAGGUCUCUUGUCGAGAAUAUUAUUCAUACAAAUUACAAAUCAGGUCUUCUGGUACGUUCGUAUUACUUCAUACUGGUAGAUUGUUCCAACAAUAUGUUGUAGAUAUGUAUGUUAAGAUUGAGACAAUUAGAUUAGAUUGUUUUUGUAAUAACAAAAAAAAACCUGUGCUGAACUUUAUCAAGACAUUGUAGAUAGUGUUAAAAAUGGAGAGACAAGGGGGUAAAAAAUUGGAAGAAAGUUUGUUUUACCACAAUCUUUUACAGGUGGCCCUAAAGAUUUAUUAAAGAGAUAUAUGGAUGCGAUGGCUAUUGCACAACGAUAUGGAAAAUCGGAUAUUUCUUAACUGUAACUUGUAAUCCCAAUUGGCCAGAGAUUAGGCAAAAACUAAGAAACAAUGAUGAUAUUCAGAAUCGACUAUAUUUAAUUGCACGUAUCUUUAGAGCAAAAUUAGAAGAGUUGUUGCUCAUAUAUAUAUGAUUGAAUUCCAGAAAAGAUGUCUCCCUCAUAAACAUCUACCGUUAAUUUUUAACUGUGGUUACAAAAUUUGUUGUGCUGGGGAGGUUGAUAAGGUAGUAUCCUGCGAAAUUCCUGAUAAAGAGAAAUACCCUUAUCUUCAUUCUGUUAUUGUUAAAUACAAUAUGCAUGAUCCUUGUGGAAAUCUCAAUCCUAAGAAUGUAUGUAUGGAAGCAAAUAAAGGUUGUAAAAAUAAAUAUUUGAAGGAUUAUUAUAAUAGCACUGUAUUUGGUAAUGUAGUAUACCCAUUGUAUAUGCGAUGUAAUAAUGGUAUUUCUGUUAAAGUUAGAGGUCAAAUGUUAGACAAUUGUUGGGUUGUACCAUACAAUCCUUAUUUAAGUGCUAAAUUUGACUGUCAUAUUAAUGUCGGAGUAUGCUCUUCUAUUAAAAUCGUUAAAUAUCUCUAUAAGUAUGUUUAUAAAGGUCAUGAUCGUAUUAAUUUUUCUAUUGACACAAUUGAAACAAACAAAGAAAUUGAUGAAAUUUUAGCUUAUCAAUCUGUUAGAUGGAUAUCUCCACCUAAAGUUAUGUGGAGAAUUUUUUCUUUUGAUUUAUCUGAUAUUUAUUCAUCUGUUUAUUCUUUACAACUUCAUAUUGAGGAUCAUCAACAAGUAACAUACGCUGAUGAGGAUGAUUUGUUCACUAUUAUUCAGAAAGACAGUACGAGGAAAACUAUGCUAACUGAAUUUUUUUCGAAUGAAUGAAAUAGAUGAAUUUGCUUGUACAUUAUUGUAUCGAGAUUUUUCAAAACAUUUUGUUCGAAAUAAAAAUAGCAAAGUUUGGACUCCUAGGAAGAAACAUGUUGUUAUAGGACGAAUUGUCACAGCUAACCCUUUUGAAGGAGAUCUAUAUUUUCUUCGUAUUCUUCUUAAUCGUAUUAGAGGACUAAUAUCCUUCCAUCAUUUACGAACUCUGAAUGGCAUAACAGCUCCAACAUAUCGAGAUGCAGCACUUCUACAUGGUUUAUUGAGUGGAGAGAAUCACUGUGAAGAAUGUAUGUCUGAAAUUCUUUUGUAUAAAAUGCCUGUUGCGUUAAAACGUCUCUUUGCUACGCUUCUUACGCUUUGUAAUCCUAGUAAUCCAAUGCUAUUGUGGGAUAAAUUUAAGGUCUAUACGAUUGAUGACUAUGUACAUCAAAAUAUACCUACAAACAUUGCUGAAAUGCGAGCUUUAGAAGACAUUAGUUGUAUUUUGGAAUCAUUGGGUAAAAACAUAAAUGAUUAUGCAAUGGUAUCAUACAAUGUAAAUAUAGAUGAGACUGAAAGGUUGAGAAGAAUGGUUGAAGAGGAGACAACUAAUUUUGAUACUUAAGGAAGACUUGCUUGUGCAGUAACAUUAAAUAAAGAACAACAAUUUGCAUAUGGUACUAUCAUGGAAAAAGUGUGAUCGGAAUCAUAUGGUGCUUUCUUCAUUAAUGGUCUAGGUGAAACUGGCAAAACUUUUUUAUAUAAAGCACUUUUAGCAGGUGUACGGUCACAAAAUUUAAUUGCUUUGGCAACAUCAUCAUCUGGAGUAUCUACAUUUCUUUUACUUGGAGGUCGAACUGUUCAUUCAAGAUUAAGAUUCUUUUGGAAACAGUCAAUGAAAUAUGUUGUUUUGUUAGUAAGCAAUCAACUUUAGGAACUUUGUUGAAAAUGUCUAGGUUAAUUAUUUGGGAUGAAGUACCGAUAGUCAAUCAUUUCGCUGUAGAUAAAAUGUUAACAGAUAUUAUCGAUUGUAAUUUACUUUUCAAUGGAAAAGUUGUAGUUCUUGGAGGAGAUUUUCGUCAAAUUCUACCAGCUGUGCGAAAAGGGAAAAAGCAAGAUAUGAUGAAAGCUAACUUAGUUUUUUCGGACCUGUGGCCUUUAUAUAAGCAUCUACCAUUGAUCGAAAACAUGAGGGCUAAACUGGAUCCCACAUUUUGUGGUUACUUACUAAGAAUUGGAGAUGGAAUAGAGCGAGAACAUAACUGUAAAUGCAUCAAACUUUUAGAAAGUAUAGUUUUACCAUUUGAAGAUGAAAUUACAUCUUUAAAAAAAUUGAUACAUAAUGUUUUUCCGGAUAUAGAAGCAUGUUCUAAGGAUCUCCAUGUAAUGUCAAAUAGAGUUAUUCUUACACCUACUAAUGAAUUUGUUGAUCAUAUUAACAGAAUUCUACUUGAACAAAUGUCGGGUGAAAUUUACACAUACUAUAGUUUUGGUGAAGCAAUUGAUAAGUCGGAACAAAGCUUACAAGAGGAUUUUUUUAAUAGCCUAACUCCAAAUGGUAUUCCUCCUCAUGAAUUGAUGCUUAAGAUAAACUGCCCUGUAAUGUUAUUACGGAAUAUUAAUCCUUCAGAAGGGUUAUGCAAUUGAACAUGUCUUACUUGUUGAAAAUUUGAGAAGAACAUAAUUUUUGCUGAAAUUACAACUGGUGAAUAUUGUGGAAAAUAUGUUUUCUUGCCAAGAAUUCCUUUUUAUACUUCUAAAAAGUGAUCAUAAUUCAAUUCAAUUUAAAAAAACUCAAUUUCCACUUAGGUCAUGUUUUGCAAUGACAAUAAAUGAAGCACAUGGUCAAACACUAGAUUUUGUCGGUUUAUAUCUUCCACAACCAGUGUUUUGUCAUGAUCAACUAUAUGUAGCAUUAUCAAAGGCAAAAAAAGUAAAUCUAUCAAAGUUUUACUUAAACCAAUAAAUAGUGACCAUUUACAUGAUAGAUGUACCACAAAUGUAUAUAAGGAAAUUCUUUCAUUUAUACUCACGUAAGUUUACAACUCUUCAUAUUUUAUUUUUCCUUAGAAUUUCACAUAACCCACGUUGUACGAGAUGCAAUUUUAUCGUAUCGUGAGAAAUUAUCUACAAAAAAUAUUUGAUAUUAAAAAUUUACUCUUUUAUUCAUUUUCCUUCCAUUUAUUAUACUUUUGUACUCAUUGUUUUCAUUAUUAUUGUUUUUUUUAAACUAUUCUCUUUUCUUACGCAUAUGAUCUUGGUUAUACAUAUUUGAAAGACUUUCGGGCUUGAUAAUACCUGUUAUAUUCUCUCAUUAUUACAUUUUUAUAGGUAAAUUUCUUCUCGACUUAACUUUUUAAUUCUUAGAUGGGAAUCUACGUAAAUUCAAAUAUUUUAUUACUCUUGCUGGUAUUUCUUACUUUAUAUGCAGGAACUUUCUAUUGUAGUUUCUGGGUAUUUUUGUUAUAUGAUUAAAUAUGUCUAUGGAAAUCCGAAACUUGCAAGUAAUGUGAGAACACUCAAUCAUGUAAUGCAACGACACUCAUUCAUGUAGCAUAAUUGAUGUAAGUGUUGAGAAAUUGAAGGCAUCGUGAACAUAAUAAGAUAAAAAAAUUCAUUGCAUUCUAGCACUAAUCAUAUUUGAAUACUAUAUUUUGUUGUCAUAUGCAAAACUAAAUAUUUGUUUUAUAAAAGAUUGAACAUUCUCCCUUAUGCACAUCCUUCCAACAAUAAAUUCUAGAAAAUAGCUUGGGCCAAUCACCAAUUAUACAUAUUCUUCAAUAUUACAAGGGGGUUCCCCACAAUAAUUCAUCUUUCAUCAAAUUAAAGAAAGCCAUUUCCUUCGACGCUCUGAGAUAAAGAUCAAAUUCUUUUCUUACAAAAAAUUGUUAAAAAUGGGAUUCAUGUUUGCAAAAAUUUCUCUCUUCUGUUUCUAAUAUUUAGAAUGGAUUAAAUCAAUUAAUUAGAAUGAAACAACUGAUUGAUGGGUCCCGAUUUUUUAGACUAGGGUUAAUGGAUUAGUAAGAAAUGAGAGUUAGCACUCGAUUUCGUUGGUACCAUUCAAUCGAAUCAAAUUCAAUACUAAGGAAGUAAUAACCCUUAAAGAAGCUAGAGCUAGGCAAGCAAAUGGCUUACAUGUUGAGUUCUAUUUACAAGUUUUUUUGGGUCUACAAGAAGCCCAUGUCAGCGAGGAUACCACAAUUAGCAUCUUUUUCUUCCUUUUAUUUAUCUUCACAUUGUUCUCCUUAUUGAUAGAGUUAUCUUCUCCAACCUAUUCAAGCAAAAACCUUUAUGCUAUGUUUUUAGUUCUUUUGAUAUUAUUUUUAUGCAAUUGAUGGAUAAAUCUACUGCUAUUGCUUUUGCAUAGUUGAUUUACAUCAUUAAAAGAAGCCAAAAGUAACAAUAUGGCUAGGAAGAGGUUAGAUCUCUGUUUCUGGUCUCAGUUUCACUUUAGUUACUUUUUCUUUUUGUGUUGAUGUCUUAUUAUUUGAUUGUUGACAUACGAAUUUUGACGCUUUCAUCAUUUUACUCAAAAAAAAAAAAAAAAAACUCUAAUAGUGUCUGAAAUUAUUAGUAAACUGGUAGUGCUUAACCAUAUAUAUAUGCAUAUUAAAUUUGUUAAUGCAAUAGAGUUUUCACAAGCUAUUUUGUUUGGUGGGCUAUUUGUUUAAAGAUUCAUACUUUAUUAUUAAUUUUUUAUAAAGCUUAUUACAGUCUUGUAUAUGAAUGAUUUAUAAAGAUAUCAUUUAUUGGCACCUGGGCUGCAUGUCUACGUUUGAUACGAGUAGAAUCUGCUACUUUUAUUUGGAUCUUGUUAAUGUUGAUUUACGUUGUAGAAUUAGCAAUUUCUUUACUAUUUGGGUUAGCCUAUAAAAAUCCGCCUUUUGUUGCCUGAAUGAUUAAAGAAAGAAAUAUUGGAAUAGAAACGAAGUUAGCUUGUCAAUAGCAGCUAUUAAGGAAUUUUGAAUUCCAGAAAUAGCAACUGGGCAUUUUAGUUACUUAUGUAAUAGAAUUUUAUACCUUAAAAGGUUGUGUACAUGAUCAUGGAAACUGAAGUGACCCAAUGUUUUGUGAAUAACCAAUAAAUAAACAAAUUUGAAUUCAUUGCCUCUCACUUGCUGCAAUUAAUACACAUAAGUGCUUCAUUUGAUGUUUGUGACUGAUAGAUUUUGAAGAAUAUUGUGAUACCAGAGGCUCCCAUGUUUAAACCUGAGCUUCCUCUUUAAGGUUUAUUCUUCCACCAUUGGUUAUUUCAUAAUUUUUGUAUUUUUUUAUUAGAAAGUUCUUAUAAAAGUUAAAGUUUACAAAUCUUUUCAGCAACAUUUCCAAAAUUGUUCCUCGUACUUCUGCUUCUCACUUUCUGUACAUAUAUACAAUAUAUGAUAUCGCCAUUUAUUUACUUUGAUCAUUUUUCUACAUGUUGGAAUAAACCAAUUUGCAUUGGCAAACAUUCCAUUGGCUAUCCAUACGUUGCCACUAAUUCAAUCAUAAAAAGAUGUGGAAAACUUAAAAUGGUUUUUGGUCAUUUCACUUUGUUGUAGCUGUUGUAAGUAAAUCUGCCAUAAGCUAUAUAUUUCGAACAACCCAUUCUUUACAUAUUUCUCCUGUUCUUUCCCUGGUCAUUCCUAAUGCCAGAAAAUGGGGAAGGACCCUUGGAAUUGGAUGUCUAUGACUUUAAACGACCUUGUGUUACCCUUGCCAUGUAUAAUGUUGAUCAGGUUAGUCUUUACACAACUCACCUGCAUAUUGAAUCUUUUCUUAUGCCACUUUUACAGCCUUUUCCCUCAUCAUUUGGAUUUUUGUGAAAAUUUGUUGGCCUAUUCAAGCGUUUGCAAAAUCGUAGAGGCAAUGGCAUUUGUAAACAGUGGUCUCUCCUCUUGAGCAUAAAGAAUACAAUUCUUAAGAAGUAUGAUGGCGGGUAAUUUGUUUAUGAAAAGCUUGGUCAAGCGUUAUAAUAUUAAUAAAAUGAAAUAUAUCUGUAUAAUACCAUUUACAUCAAUAUUUUCACUAUCUCAGGUUCAACCGUUCAAGGAUAUAUUUAAGGAGUUACAUGAAUAGAAGUGGACGAAGCAACUUGAAGAACACUCACUAUGGUUGAUUUUUAUAUCUUUGAUGUAUAUAAUCUUAAUGUGCCCAUUCACAUUGUUUUCUAGACAUAUAUGCUUCCCCUAGGUAUGAGCAUCGGUUGUUCGAUGACAUGGUGGCAUACAUCGUGAAGAGUGAUGGUGGAUAUGUUUGGGCUUGUAAGAAUUAUGUCAAAUAUGUCCAACAUGAUUUACUUACACAAGACGAAUGCAUGUAUAAAUAAAGACAUAAAAAGUAGAUUAAUGUGGCUCUACUCUCUAAUAUGAUUUCCAAUAUCUAAACUAAUUAUGUAAGUCAAUAGU